Chionomys nivalis (European snow vole) is the source of this 109-nucleotide small nuclear RNA. NCBI's taxonomy places the organism in Eukaryota, Metazoa, Chordata, Mammalia, Rodentia, Cricetidae. The record is from RefSeq and is a predicted model, not a curated record.
GUGCUCGCUUCGGAAGCACAUAAACUAAACUUGGAAUGAUAGAGAAUAUUAGCAUGGCCUCUGCGCAAGGGUGACACGAAAGGGGGGCUACUUGAUCUGAAGAAUUUUU